GUUUUGGUCCUAAACUUGCUAUUGUUUUUAAUCAAAAUUACACAUGCAAGCCUCAACAAGCCAGUGAGAAUGCCCAACACCGCCCAUCAGCCAAAAGGAGCAGGCAUCAGGAACACCAUAAAACUUGCCAAUAACGCCUUGCCACGCCACACCCACACGGGUACUCAGCAGUGAUUAACAUUAAGAAAUGAGCGAAAGCUCGACUUAGUUAUGAUUAAUUUGGUCGGUUAAUUUCGUGCCAGCCACCGCGGUUAUACGAAAGACCCAAAACAAUAGCCCAACGGCGUAAAAAGUGACCCAAAGCCCGCCUAAACCUUAAAGAAAAACUGCUUCAAAGAUGUAAAACACCUUGAUAACAGGAACCACAACAAACUGCCUUUAACACCCAAGGCCCUUCCAGUCACGAAAGCCAAGAAACAAACUAGGAUUAGAUACCCUACUAUGCUUGGCCCUCAACACAAAUAGCAUAAAUACAAUGCUAUUCGCCAGAGAACUACGAGUGAAAAACUUAAAACUCCAAGGACUUGGCGGUGCUCCACACCGACCUAGAGGAGCCUGUCCUAUAAUCGAUACCCCCCGCUCAACCUUACCAUUUUUUGCAACUCAGCCUAUAUACCGCCGUCGUCAGCCUACCUCAUGAGAGAUAAAAAGUAGGCAAAACAGUUAUAUACUAACACGUCAGGUCAAGGUGUAGCAUAUAAAGUGGAAGAGAUGGGCUACAUUUUCUAUUCUAGAAAAAACGAAUGAUACACUGAAACCUGUGUCUGAAGGAGGAUUUAGCCGUAAGCCAAACUAGAGAGCUUGACUAAACACCGCUCUGGAGCACGCACACACCGCCCGUCACCCUC
Molecule: non-coding RNA, 848 nt
Filed under: Eutropis cumingi (Cuming's mabuya)
Lineage: Eukaryota; Metazoa; Chordata; Lepidosauria; Squamata; Scincidae
Description: partial 12S ribosomal RNA
Rfam family: Bacterial small subunit ribosomal RNA
Source: RNAcentral